GGUUUUUAGAUUUUAUUAAAAAUCAAGCCUGCUCAAUGCUAAGUAAAUAGCCGCAGAAUUUUAACUGUGCAAAGGUAGCAUAAUCACUUGUCUUUUAAUUGAGGACUAGAAUGAAAGGUUUAACUAUGUAAUUUUGUCUUAUAGUAAUAUUUUGAACUUAAUUUUUUAGUAAAAAAGCUAAAAUUCACCUUAAAGACGAGAAGACCCUAUUAAGCUUUACAAUUUAAUAUUAUUUUCAAAUUAAUUAAAAAAUUGUUCUGCUGGGGCAGCAAAUAAAAAAAUAUUGUUUACAUAUUGUGAUAAAUAAAUCUAGAAAAAUCAAUAAUUUAUUAAAAAAUAAUAAGUUACUAUAGGGAUAACAGCAUAAUUUUUUUAAAGAGUUCUCAUCAACAAAAAAGUUUGUGACCUCGAUGUUGGAUUAAGAAUCCUAUUUUACGCAGUAGUAAAAAAAGGAAGUCUGUUCGACUUUUAAAUUCUUCCA
RNAcentral lists this ribosomal RNA (481 nucleotides) under Paruroctonus becki. Its description in RNAcentral is "partial 16S ribosomal RNA". It matches the Rfam family "Bacterial large subunit ribosomal RNA", at positions 1832 to 2600 of the family's 2925-position model. Lineage: Eukaryota; Metazoa; Arthropoda; Arachnida; Scorpiones; Vaejovidae. The record is from RNAcentral.